This 199-nucleotide ribosomal RNA is filed under the name Cetobacterium somerae. Its description in RNAcentral is "partial 23S ribosomal RNA". It matches the Rfam family "Bacterial large subunit ribosomal RNA", at positions 288 to 462 of the family's 2925-position model. Lineage: Bacteria; Fusobacteriati; Fusobacteriota; Fusobacteriia; Fusobacteriales; Fusobacteriaceae. The record is from RNAcentral.
AUCUACGGGGUAGCGGGAAGAUCGUCUGAAGAACUGCAAGGUAUUCGACAUUAUGAUACGCCGAACUGGAAAGGUCUGGAAAGGCCUGCCGUAGAGAGUGAAAGCCUCGUACAGGUAAACCGUAUCAAAUGUAUGAUCUCUCCCAAGUAGCACGGAACACGAGGAAUUCUGUGUGAAUCUGCGAGGACCAUAUCUCGUA